This is a regulatory RNA element of 100 nucleotides. It matches the Rfam family "TPP riboswitch aptamer (THI element)". Rfam says of the family: Vitamin B(1) in its active form thiamin pyrophosphate (TPP) is an essential coenzyme that is synthesised by coupling of pyrimidine and thiazole moieties in bacteria. The record is from Rfam.
UGAACUUCUUCGGGGUGCUACCGUCGUUGCGGAUGCUGAGAUUAGACCCAUGGAACCUGAAACAGGUAAUGCUGGCGAAGGGAUAAAUUAAAAUUUCCAC